This 327-nucleotide ribosomal RNA is filed under the name uncultured Acidobacteriota bacterium. RNAcentral's name for it is "bacterial SSU rRNA". It matches the Rfam family "Bacterial small subunit ribosomal RNA", at positions 15 to 354 of the family's 1533-position model. Lineage: Bacteria; Pseudomonadati; Acidobacteriota. The record is from RNAcentral.
GAUCCUGGCUCAGAAUCAACGCUGGCGGCGUGCCUAACACAUGCAAGUCGAACGAGAAAGUGGUAGCAAUACCAUGAGUAAAGUGGCGCACGGGUGAGUAACACGUGACUAACCUACCCUGGAGUGGGGGAUAACUGAGGGAAACCUUAGCUAAUACCGCAUAAUACCUACGGGUCAAAGGAGCAAUUCGCUUCAGGAGGGGGUCGCGGUCGAUUAGUUAGUUGGCGGGGUAAUGGCCCACCAAGACAGUGAUCGAUAUCCGGCCUGAGAGGGCGCACGGACACACUGGAACUGAAACACGGUCCAGACUCCUACGGGAGGCAGCAG